CCUACGGGAGGCAGCAGUGGGGAAUAUUGGACAAUGGGCGAAAGCCUGAUCCAGCCAUGCCGCGUGUGUGAAGAAGGUCUUCGGAUUGUGAAGCACUUUAAGUUGGGAGGAAGGGUUGUAGAUUAAUACUCUGCAAUUUAGACGUUACCGACAGAAUAAGCACCGGCUAACUCUGUGCCAGCAGCCGCGGUAAU
Molecule: ribosomal RNA, 194 nt
Filed under: uncultured Pseudomonas sp.
Lineage: Bacteria; Pseudomonadati; Pseudomonadota; Gammaproteobacteria; Pseudomonadales; Pseudomonadaceae
Description: partial 16S ribosomal RNA
Rfam family: Bacterial small subunit ribosomal RNA
Source: RNAcentral